UACGUUGGGUGCGAGCGUUAAUCGGAAUUACUGGGCGUAAAGCGUGCGCAGGCGGUUCGUUAAGUCUGAUGUGAAAGCCCCGGGCUCAACCUGGGAAUGGCAUUGGAAACUGGCGAGCUGGAGUGCGGCAGAGGGGGGUGGAAUUCCGCGUGUAGCAGUGAAAUGCGUAGAGAUGCGGAGGAACACCGAUGGCGAAGGCAGCCCCCUGGGCCGACACUGACGCUCAGGCACGAAAGCGUGGGGAGCAAACAGG
This 253-nucleotide ribosomal RNA is filed under the name uncultured bacterium. RNAcentral describes it as "partial 16S ribosomal RNA". It matches the Rfam family "Bacterial small subunit ribosomal RNA", at positions 524 to 776 of the family's 1533-position model. The record is from RNAcentral.